GUUCUUCCAAUCUCAAACUGGGUUUCCCCAGUUGAGAUUGAGGGGGAGUAUUAAGGGUACAAGUCAGCAAUACAAUUAGAAAUAUAUUUAGCAAAUUUGUUAGUAUUUGGUUAGAGUUGUUAGGUUUACUAGUAUAAAAACAAAGUGUGUAAUCUUCAUUCUUUCAGUCAAUACAAAUCAUAUUUCUCUCUCUACAACCUCUGUGUUCAUCCUUCUGUUCAUUGUUUCUUCUUAAUUUUCUCUUUAAUUCCCAAACAUUUCAAUGUAGUUAACAAAAAUGUAUUGUACUCCUUGUACAAAUUUUUUUCUGCUAGUAUUUUGGGUGCUAUUAUUGGCACUCUAAAAUUGUCAUUCUACACUAUGACAAAAAAAAUUUAAUGUCUAAAUAAAUUAGAAGUCCAAGAUGAUCUUCAUGGAGUGUUCAUAACAACUCACAAACAAAUGUCUACUGAAAAACGAUGUUAGGCAAGUGGUCGAUUGUCAUGGUGAGGUUAGGGUUUUUCUCUUCAACCCACUAUGUCCCAAGUUUGACCAUCCCCCUCCCCCUCCCCCUUCACCUUGGUCAGCUUAGAGUAGAAAUAUCGUUUAUAUUAAAAAAUGAUGUUAUUAGUUGGAACAUGGUUAUAUUUAUUAUUAUUGUAUCAAAGAAAUGCUCAAGGACUCUCUCAAAAGUCGUACUCUUUGCCACCUCAUGUUUU
Molecule: long non-coding RNA, 698 nt
Filed under: Malus domestica (apple)
Lineage: Eukaryota; Viridiplantae; Streptophyta; Magnoliopsida; Rosales; Rosaceae
Description: long non-coding RNA (MDOM_LNC012205)
Source: RNAcentral